UGUUAGCAAUCACAGCGUCAUGUCUGCAACUGUUGAUACCAUGGACAAAGAUGAUUUUAUACUUUGCUUCGUCUUUUGGAACACAAUGCUCUUUGUAUGCCAAAUGUCUUCCAUCUCUUAGUUUGAUUCUUGGCGCCGUUAUAGGUGGUCCAUCAGGAGUGCCACAUAUCUUUGGAGGCGGAGGUUGAGCAGCUUGAUAAGCCCAUGCUAGAAAUCCAAUAAACAACACUGCCAGUGUUGUUCUAAGUAUUCCUGAGAAUUUGUAAUGUAAUGCCAAAUUAAAAGACAAAUAAAUAAAAUUUAAAACAUAAACUAUGGUUUAUAGUCCAUAAGUCAAUAUCAAAAUACAACGUAAAAACUAGCUUAUGCUGAACACAGGUAAACUUUGGGGUCUUAACCCUCUGAUUCCGAGAGGAAAGAGUCAGUAUAGUAAUCUAGAGUUUGACCAUAAGUUAAGUAAAAUCUGACUAAUAAUUGUUUCAACCAUUAAUCAAACCCAGGUUUCUCCUGAUCGAUUCAACCUUAACUUGUUUUUUAUAAGCGAUUCGACCUUAACUUCUACACAGGUGAAACUAUGAGGUCUUAACCCUUUGAUUGCUAUGGGAAAAGACCCUAGUAAUCUAGAGUUUGAGUGUUUGACCAGUAGGUAAGUAAAGUCUAGCAAAUGAUUGUUUCAGCCAGCAAUUAAAUUUAGGUUCUCCUGACUUCAAUUUUUUUUUAUUACCAUGCUAAAGAAAAAACUAACGGAAAAGGAAAAAAACUACACUCUCCAGAACCAAGUUUUAGUAGAAUCUGCGAAGAGGAGCUCCCUCAGGCCAUGCCGGGGGUGUACCAAGCAAUCUAAGUCAGAAGAGGCUCCAAUUUUAGCAAGUAUUUCCUUCCGGGAGGGUGUGGUUAAAUAUGCACUUUUCAAUUAAGCUGAAGGAGAUCUUUUAUGUCUUGAAUCAGAGUAACAUAGUUAUGAAAUUUUGGAGUUGAGCAUGAAUGGUAUGAGACAUAGGAGAGAGUUUCUAUAACAGGCAGGGACGGACCUAGGAAGGUCACUAUGUAGGCCUAUGCCCCCACUUUGAUGUGAAUUUUUUUAUACUACUAUACAUAUAUUAUAUUAUAUAACAAAUAAAUUAGUUGAUAAAUUUCAUAGUAGUCCACACUCACGCCCACACACAAUCAGUUCAAAACUUACUUAGUUGCCCACGCCAAAAAUUUAUGGGAGAUAACCGGUUAAAUAAUUGUUUAGUUACUUAUAUUGAGAGAUAUUUUUCUUGAUGUUGAAAAAGAGAAAAUUAUUCAAUUUUAUCAAAAUAUGGAACGUAAAGCCACUAGGGUUGGUCUAGUGGUGAGAGGUUUGGGUAGUACGUUAUAGGUCCUGGGUUCGAUCUCUAGCUCAUUGUAAACAAAAAAAAAAAUGGAACGUCCUAGAGAACAAUUAUAAUGUAUUUUUUAUGCUUUUGAAAAUGAAAUGUUAUAUUUAUUUAAUGAUGCAAUUUUAUAAUAACCCCACUACUCAAAAUUUCUGGUUCCGUCCCUGAUAACAGGUAAUGUGUAUUGAAUUAUUUAAGUUUUGUUCUUUGCCUCAACUCCUAAUAUGUGGGAUAGUAACCUCAAUUCUAAAGCUACAGCACGACCCAUUAAAAUUUAGACAUAAAAAGUGAUGAAAACCAUGCAAAAAUGGAAACUUUGAUGAAGAAAGAAGAAAAGAGAAUGAAAGAGGGAAGACCCACCAGCAGGAAGCUGAAAAGAAGAUGAUUUGUUGGCCCUCCUGGAGUGAGAACGAGCUGAUGCUGCAGAAAUCUUUCUGUUAACUCCCGUGGCCAUUGUAGAACAGAAUAAUAUUAAUUCAAUGGUGGUUUAGAUGUUGGAUGAGUUACUUGUGAGAUGGAACUCUCCAUUUCUAACUAGGUUCCAAGUGUACAAAUAUACACCAUAUUUAUUUAUAAUCUUUUUAAUAUAAUAGCACUUUUAAAUGAAUUCCACAAGUAAUUAUACAUCAUUUAAAUAGAUCCCACCAUAUAUAGAUAUCAUCAAUAUUUACUUAAAAAAUACUGUAGUAAUUAUUAAGUACUCAAUUGUGUUUCGCUUCAAGAAAUACUUGUUAAGUAAUAAUGCUUAACAAAGAAAUAGAUACCCACCCUUGGAAAUAUUCUUACUGACUUUUUAAUACUACAUUUAACAACAAAAAAAAAACAAAUUGAUGAAAUUUUAAGUCAUAAUUUAAUCGUUUGAAUUAAACCGGGUGACAAAUAAAUAAAAAUUUUAAAAAAUGAAAACCAGUUGAACUGGUUAAUUCCGGUUCAGUUAGACCCAAUGUAACCACAAUCAAACCAUUUGGUGAACCAGCCGAUUACAUGUUCAACCGAGCAAUUUGGUAUGAUCAAUUCCCCUUCCUCAAUUGGAAGAAAGCCUCCACUUAAAUAUCUACUCCAAGUAUUAUUAUUAAAUUCCACUUAAAUAUUCUUUCUUUCUUUCAAUAACCUGCAUUUUUCUUCAAUCUCUAGAUAUCAAAAAGUUUAAAGCACCCACAACCUAGAAAAAUAAAAAGCUCAAAAAGAGUGAAAUCAAACCGUAUUCAGGGCCUCUUUGGAUUAAGUUAUGUUUGAGGUUAGGAAAAAUAGCUUAUGCAAAUAAAUAAGUUUUUAUGUUAAUUCAUAAGUUUUCGCUAGUAAAAUUUUUAUCUUCAUAAAAUACCUUAACAAACUUAUAAAUUAUACAUAAAAGUUUAUUUAUUUGUAUAAGUUGCAUAAACUCAAAAAUAAGUCGAUCCAAACGGGCCAUAGACAAAUUAUCCUCCACAAAAUGCAUUCAUGUAGUAGCUAUCAUCAAAUACAUCUUAUAAAUAACAAAACAUGCCAGCUUCUUUUAAAUUUUAAAACACAAGAACAAUGUGCAUAUGCAAUUAUCAAGUAACUAGAUCCAUCCUACAGUCAAAGUUGCUCAAAAUUCAGCAUAUGUAUUGUGUGUGAUCUUCAGUUUGAAUUCUCCGAAAUGCGGAUAAUAAAUGCUGAAGCUGACCCGAGAUAGCCGGCGACGGAUACAAAACACUACUUUACACCUAAAAGUGACUUAAUGAUAGCCUCACUCAUACCAUCCAAGUGAGGGAAGAUAUGGCCAGAACCUGGAAGUUCGUGAUAGUGAAUCCAUGGAAGGUUUUCUGCAAUGUAUUGUUGUAGUGUAACAGGAACCAACAAAUCAUCAUCACCUUGCCAAAGAUGAACAGAACCUUCAUUGUUUGGGAAUGGAUUUUGAAGAUCCAAUGGAGUAUAUUCCCAGCUUCCAAAUCCAAUAUUCAUGUCACGGUGGAUGCUUUCAUGUACACCUUGCUGUCUUACCUGCGCCUGUUGAAGCAAAAUAAAAAGUUAUGAAACUUAAGUGAGAAUUGAGAUAGUACGAAAUUGGUCUUAUCAGGCAGUUAUCCGUGGAUGCGAGGGAAAAUCAAUAAACACAAGAUACACUAUGAAGAUUGAUUCACUCAUUAUGCCGAGCUAACCAAGUCAAAGCAGCAUUGGUCUAACAAAAUCGUAGCCAUCCAAUCAACAUUGAACGGCUCAGAUUUUAAUACAGUUUCAAUUUUUUAAAAUAUAUAAAUUCUGACCCUCAAAUUUAAACCGUUCGAUCUUUGAUCAAACGAACAUGGUCUUGCUGACUGCAUGCAGUCAAAGGGUGCUGACUGCAUGCAGUCAAGGGGUGCCGACUGCACUCAAUCCAGAUCCAUAUAUAAAAUACAGAAAAAAAUUAUAACCUUAAUAUUUUCAUACCAAUCACUAAGACACAAACUAUAACCUUAAUAUUUAAAAUUCUUGACCAAUGAUUUUUAAGGAUUUUUUCACAAUAAUCCAUGGAAGAGGAAAGAAGGUAUUAUGAAGAAGUUAAUAUUUGCCUACAAAAGUUGCAUCAAAAAACUGAGAAAGAAAAAUGCAUUAACAAUCAUAGUUUACAUUUCCCUACUAUUUUGUGUAUUAUUAUUUAUCAUAUAAUAUUUGUAACUAAGACAAACUAUUGUGGUGAUUAAUUCCAAAAGUUUUUUUUUUUCUUUUUCUUUAAGUUAUGAAUGGACCUUAAGGCUUUGUUUGGAUUGGUGGUAUGAGAUGGAAUGGAGUGGUAUGUGGUGGUAUGAAGUGAAGUUCCAUUGUUUGGAUUCUUUAAAAAUGAAUGGAAUGGAGUGGUANNNNNNNNNNNNNNNNNNNNNNNNNNNNNNNNNNNNNNNNCCAAUUUGGGGUGUAUGGGAUGGAAUACAAAAUGUCCAAACAAUGGAAUACAUUUUAUGCUCCAUUCCAUCCCGCUCCGCUCCAUUCCAUCUUAUUCCAUUCCGCUCCAUUUCGUUAUGUACCAUCAAUCCAAACAUAGCCUAAGGCUAUGUUUGGAUUGAUGGAAUAAAAUGGAAUGGAAUGGAAAGGGAUGGAAUAGAAUAAUGUUCCAUUGUUUGGAUUUGUAAAAUAAUAAUGGAAUCGAAUGGAAUAGGAUGGAAUAAAUUUAUCCCAUACCACCACUUACCUUCAAUUUUGUUCCUCUCCUUUUUAAAAUAUCCAAACAAUGGAAUGGAAGAUUUAUUUCAUUCUGCUCCAUCUCAUUCCACUCCACUCUAUUCCGCUCCACUCCAUUCCAUUAUAAACAACAAUACAUAACAUGAUUACAAAUAAAACUCUCAAUACAUAACAAAUUAAGAAUAACAAGGAUAAACAACUAAAUUAAGAUCCUAUAGCAUAAACACUUAUCAUAUGAGUGCUUAUGUAUAAGCUAUUUAUAUAACAAAAGAUCAAAUAAAGUCAAAUUGUUUUCAAAUAGGUCAUUCGUUGUUUUCAAUUUUCAUAAACUAUUCUGGAGAGCUUAUGAACGUGUCAUAAGUUGUUUUCAUAAGUUCUCAAAAAUAGUCUCACAAGUGCUUAAUUCAGUAGACAAGCUCAAAUAAGUCAAUACAAAAACGUCCUAAGUAGUGAAAGUUGUUCAUGAAUGACUUCAAAAAUGGAAGACAUCCAUUUGUAAACAGUUUAAAAAACUAAAAACACAAACUGAUUGUGUGCAGUCAAUGUGAGUUCUUAUAAUCACCAACAAAAUUUUAAAUCAACUUUUAUCAAUUUAACAAAUACAAACUAUCAGCUAAAUAACUCUAUGCAUUGCAUCCAGAAUAGAAAGAAAAGAAGGAAAAAAAAUCAAAUUUUGUAAUAACCUAAAAGCAUGAUACUUACCGCAUAAUUCUCUUUAUGAUUCAACAACUUAGAUAACAGCUCUUUGUCUUGUUUUGAAAAAUUAUCUGGACUACGAGCAAUUACGCUACAAAUAGGGAACCAUCUCUGCGUGUUCCACCAGUACGUUAGCCAUGGCGUGUAGUGAGCAACACGAAGUGCCCAUUGGUCUUCUAAUUUUAUUUUGGAAUAGACUUCUGCAGUUAAGUUUGCAGGAAGAUCAGGCCACCAGUAGUUGACGACUGGGGCUAAGAGCGCUACACCUGCCAACCUGUCAAUUUUGAGAGAAAUAAAAAGGUAUACACAAACCAAGAAAGAAAUAGUAGUGAUAUAAUUGAGUGUCAACACUCAACAGAACAAAACUAUAAAUAAACUGAAUAGGCCUGUUUGGACAAAACUAAUAAUAAGUGCUUAUAUAUAAGCUAUUACUAUAACAAAAGAUAAAAUAAAGUCAAACUGUUUUCAUAAGCUAUCCUAGAGUGCUUAUGGACAUGUCAUAAACUGUUUGCAUAAGCUCUCUCAAACAGUGUCACAAAUAAGUCAAUUAAAACAUGACUUCAAUCAUACCUGUGAGGAAUAUACUUAAGGCAAUUCCAAGCAAUUUGUCCACCCAUGGAAAAACCAAUCACGUAGAAUUUGGAUCCCAAUCCCAGCUGAUCAGCAAGCUCCUCGAUAUCCAAAGCAAUGCUCUUUAACGUACGAUUUGGAUCAGGAUCACUUUCUCCAUAGCCAGGUCUGUCGAAAGAUACAACGUAGAUCCCCAAUUCCUUAACAAUAUCCUGAAAAACCUCGCAUUAUAUAUAAUUAUACAAAUCACAAAGAAAUCUGAGAAUGCUAUAAUAGACAGAAGAAAAAAGAAAUAUAGAAAAUUACAGGUGAUAGAGUGUCGGCAACCACAGUGUCAUGUCUGCAACUGUUGAUACCAUGGAUAAAGAUGAUUUUAUACUUUGCUUCGUCUUUUGGAACACAAUGCUCUUUGUAUGCCAAAUGUCUUCCAUCUCUUAGUUUGAUUCUUGGAGCCGUUAUAGGUGGUCCAUCUGGAGAGCCACAUAUCUUGGGAGGAGGAGGUUGAGCAGCUUGAUAAGCCCAUGCUAGAAAUCCAAUAAACAACACUGCCAGUGUUGUUCUAAGUAUUCCUG
This 6316-nucleotide long non-coding RNA is filed under the name Trifolium pratense (red clover). RNAcentral's name for it is "long non-coding RNA (TPRA_LNC000583)". Lineage: Eukaryota; Viridiplantae; Streptophyta; Magnoliopsida; Fabales; Fabaceae. The record is from RNAcentral.